UUAAAUUCUAAGAGCAAAGGUAAGUAAUCUGCAAAACGAUGUUUCAGAGAGCCGAUGAAUGGUGUGAAUUCGGUACAUACGCUGUUUGAUGAAUGGAUUUGUGAGAAGCAUAGUGAACAAAGCUUUUUAGCUUCAAGUAUCUAUCGCCGUUGUUCCCACGUUACAGGGAUAGGAUAUUAAGGAUUGAUUCCAGCGUAUCUGAAAAAGGAGAGUUUUACUUUAACUCUUGAAUUUGGGUGGCACCACGAUGUCUAUCGUCCCUUAU
RNAcentral lists this non-coding RNA (265 nucleotides) under Ruminococcus sp. RNAcentral's name for it is "T-box sequence". It matches the Rfam family "T-box leader". From Rfam's summary of the family: Uncharged tRNA acts as the effector for transcription antitermination of genes in the T-box leader family. Lineage: Bacteria; Bacillati; Bacillota; Clostridia; Eubacteriales; Oscillospiraceae. The record is from RNAcentral.